CCGUCAACCUACCGGAAGUAAGCAUUUGUAAACUAGGCAGACUAGAGUACUGUAGAGGGGGGUAGGAAGUUUCUAGGUGUAGCGGUGAAAUAGCGUAGAGAUCUGAAGGAAUACCGGUGGCGAAGGCGGCCCCCUCGGACAGAUACUGACACUCAGAUGCGAAAAGCGUGGGGGAGCAAACAGGAUUAGAUACCCCUGGUAG
This 202-nucleotide ribosomal RNA is filed under the name uncultured bacterium. Its description in RNAcentral is "partial 16S ribosomal RNA". It matches the Rfam family "Bacterial small subunit ribosomal RNA", at positions 601 to 793 of the family's 1533-position model. The record is from RNAcentral.